RNAcentral lists this ribosomal RNA (219 nucleotides) under Escherichia coli. RNAcentral describes it as "partial 16S ribosomal RNA". It matches the Rfam family "Bacterial small subunit ribosomal RNA", at positions 1 to 216 of the family's 1533-position model. The record is from RNAcentral. Lineage: Bacteria; Pseudomonadati; Pseudomonadota; Gammaproteobacteria; Enterobacterales; Enterobacteriaceae.
UUAAAUUGAAGAGUUUGAUCAUGGCUCAGAUUGAACGCUGGCGGCAGGCCUAACACAUGCAAGUCGAACGGUAACAGGAAGAAGCUUGCUUCUUUGCUGACGAGUGGCGGACGGGUGAGUAAUGUCUGGGAAACUGCCUGAUGGAGGGGGAUAACUACUGGAAACGGUAGCUAAUACCGCAUAACGUCGCAAGACCAAAGAGGGGGACCUUCGGGCCUC